GAUGAACGCUGGCGGCGUGCCUAAUACAUGCAAGUCGAGCGAACAGACGAGGAGCUUGCUCCUCUGACGUUAGCGGCGGACGGGUGAGUAACACGUGGAUAACCUACCUAUAAGACUGGGAUAACUUCGGGAAACCGGAGCUAAUACCGGAUAAUAUAUUGAACCGCAUGGUUCAAUAGUGAAAGACGGUUUUGCUGUCACUUAUAGAUGGAUCCGCGCCGCAUUAGCUAGUUGGUAAGGUAACGGCUCACCAAGGCAACGAUGCGUAGCCGACCUGAGAGGGGGAUCGGCCACACUGGAACUGAGACACGGUCCAGACGCCUACGGGAGGCAGCAGUAGGGAAUCUGCCGCAAUGGGCGAAAGCCUGACGGAGCAACGCCGCGUGAGUGAUGAAGGUCUUCGGAUCGUAAAACUCUGUUAUUAGGGAAGAACAAAUGUGUAAGUAACUAUGCACGUCUUGACGGUACCUAAUCAGAAAGCCACGGCUAACUACGUG
Molecule: ribosomal RNA, 497 nt
Filed under: uncultured bacterium
Lineage: Bacteria
Description: partial 16S ribosomal RNA
Rfam family: Bacterial small subunit ribosomal RNA
Source: RNAcentral